CAAAAACAUCGCCUUUCGAUUUACAUGAAAGGUCCAGCCUGCCCGGUGACAAAGUUUAACGGCCGCGGUAACUUGACCGCGCGAAGGUAGCAUAAUCACUUGUUCUUUAAAUAGGGACUAGUAUCAACGGCAUCACGAGGGUUGCACUGUCUCCUCCCUCCAAUCAGUGAAACUGAUCUCCCCGUGAAAAAGCAGGGAUUAAUAUAUAAGACGAGAAGACCCCAUGGAGCUUUAAACCCACAGCAACUCAAUAAAUUAAUCCAUUAUAGCCUAUAGAGUAAUGCACACCGGUUUUAGGUUGGGGUGACCGCGGAGUAAAAACUAACCUCCACGACGAAAAGAACAAAAAUCUUUAUCUAAGAAAAACGAUUCUAAGAAUUAGUACACUAACGAACAAUGACCCAAUAUUUGAUCAACGAAACAAGUUACCCUGGGGAUAACAGCGCAAUCUACUUCAAGAGCCCAUAUCGACAAGUAGGCUUACGACCUCGAUGUUGGAUCAGGGUAUCCUAGUGGUGCAGCCGCUACUGAAGGUUCGUUUGUUCAACGAUUAAAACCCUACGUGAUCU
Molecule: ribosomal RNA, 569 nt
Filed under: Gracixalus waza (WAZA treefrog)
Lineage: Eukaryota; Metazoa; Chordata; Amphibia; Anura; Rhacophoridae
Description: partial 16S ribosomal RNA
Rfam family: Bacterial large subunit ribosomal RNA
Source: RNAcentral